GUGAGGAAUAUUGGUCAAUGGGCGCGAGCCUGAACCAGCCAAGUCGCGUGAGGGAUGACGGCCCUACGGGUUGUAAACCUCUUUUGUCGGGGAGCAAAUUCCGCCACGUGUGGCGGAGUCGAGAGUACCCGAAGAAAAAGCAUCGGCUAACUCCGUGCCAGCAGCCGCGGUAAUACGGAGGAUGCGAGCGUUAUCCGGAUUUAUUGGGUUUAAAGGGUGCGUAGGCGGACUGUCAAGUCAGCGGUAAAAUACGGGGGCUCAACCUCCGCCCGCCGUUGAAACUGACGGUCUUGAGUGGGCGAGAAGUAUGCGGAAUGCGUGGUGUAGCGGUGAAAUGCAUAGAUAUCACGCAGAACUCCGAUUGCGAAGGCAGCAUACCGGCGCCCGACUGACGCUGAAGCACGAAAGCGUGGGUAUCGAACAGGAUUAGAAACCCGGGUAGUCC
Molecule: ribosomal RNA, 445 nt
Filed under: uncultured bacterium
Lineage: Bacteria
Description: bacterial SSU rRNA
Rfam family: Bacterial small subunit ribosomal RNA
Source: RNAcentral